Molecule: long non-coding RNA, 1717 nt
Filed under: Ananas comosus (pineapple)
Lineage: Eukaryota; Viridiplantae; Streptophyta; Magnoliopsida; Poales; Bromeliaceae
Description: long non-coding RNA (ACOM_LNC034699)
Source: RNAcentral
CGAUUCAGUCCGACACUCUCCAGAUGUGUCGACCAAUUGCUAAUACUGAAACCAAUCUGAUACCAAAACCCCCGGGACACUACAACAACGUUCGCCUAAAGAGUGUAACUCUCAUCCCAAAGAGUGUAAUUUCUGUCUCAAAGAGUAUAACUUUUAUAUAAAAUAGUGCAAAAAUUAUUUAAAACAAUGUAAUUUUAUUUUAAUAGUGCAAUUUCUUCUUCUUCUUCAUUCUUCUAUGAUUUUUAAUCUUUCCUGUAGAAAAAAAAUAUUUUUUUAUUUUUAUUUUUUAUUAUUCUUAUUUUUCUUCUCUCUAUAAUUUUUUUUUGAUCACGACCUCUCUCUUACCCUCUAUCGCAACCAUCGCCCUUGCCGGAGUGUAACUAUUUUUCUUUCCCUUCCUCGUCGGCGUUCUUUUGGACACCGAGAAGCACUUCAUGUUUGUCACCGGCGACGGCGGUAGGGACGGCGGGUGGGGGGGGAGGGCGUGCGCGGGCGAGGGCGAGGGCAUGAGGGUGAGAGGCAAGGCGGGCCGUUUCCGCCUCCGCCUCUGCGGACUUCUUCGGCGAGAAAAAAAAAAGAACGCGAGAUUAAGAAAAAAAGGAAGAGAGAAAAAAGUAUAAGGGAUAUUUUGGUAAGUUUGUUGAAAAUUCGGACCAAAUCUACAAAAUUAGAAAAUAUGGUCCAGUUUUACAAAAGCUCAAAACUUGUGGAUUUUUUAUGCAAAUUGGCUAUUUUUCUUUCCACCGUAUCUUUCUACCGUAGUGUUGAAUUGGACGAAAUAGGAUCAGUUUGCUAAUUAAUAUUUUUUAAAAAAUAUUUUGUAAAUUAUAAAUUUUUAAUUGUCAAUUAAAAAAGGGAAAACUUCAAAUACCCCUAUGUGGUUUCACAUUUUCUCACUUUAGUACCCUAUAGUUUAAAGUGUAUCAAUUUAAUUAGUGCCAUAUGGUUUUAUUUUUAUCUUUUUAUUAUUGAUUCUACUAAUUUUUUUCAUUAAAUCAGUGACAAAGUUAAAAGUAAAGGGUACUAAAGUGAAUAUUAGAUAAAUAUAGGUGGGGUAUCUGGAGUUUUUUGUGUAUAAUUUAACGAAAUAUUAACGAAGAAGCCGACGAAGAGAUAAAAAUGAAACCACAGGAUACUAACCUGAUAUACUUUAAACCGCAGGGUACUAAAAUGAGAAAGUACGAAAUCACAUAGAGGGUAUUUGAAGUUUACCCAUUAAAAGAAAGUGUGCCAUUUUACUAGGUACAAUGCGUAUAGACAUCCAAAAUUUUAUUCGAAUCCAAAUUCGAACGAAUCAGAUUUAUUCGAUGCUAAAUGGAUAUUGUUUUGAAUAUGGAUACAAAAAAUAAAAAUCCGACGGAUAUGGAUUCGGAUAUGAAUAUUGAUUUUAUCCGACCCGAACCCAAACCUGAACCCGAAUCCCAACCCGAUCAGAACAUGAAUUUAUUUUUCAUUAUAUAUAAUAUGCAUAUAAAAAUUUGAUAUUAUAUUUAAAUUUGUAUUUUAAAAAUUUAGAUUUAAUAUAAUAUAUUUUGAAAUAUUGACAAAAAAAAUAAUUGUUUCGGAUUCGAAUUUUGAAUUUUUGGUCGGAUUUGGAUUUUGAAUUUUUGGUGAGAUUCGGAUUCGUAUUUGGAUAUGAAUUUUUAAAAUUCGUCCGAUUUGAAUUCGAGUUUAGAUUUCGGAUUUAUGAGUUGGGUUCGGGUUGAGGUUUUUGAAA